This 231-nucleotide ribosomal RNA is filed under the name Thalassiosira minuscula. RNAcentral describes it as "partial Bacterial large subunit ribosomal RNA". It matches the Rfam family "Bacterial large subunit ribosomal RNA", at positions 177 to 454 of the family's 2925-position model. Lineage: Eukaryota; Bacillariophyta; Thalassiosirophyceae; Thalassiosirales; Thalassiosiraceae. The record is from RNAcentral.
AGGCGAACGAGGGGAAGUGAAACAUCUAAGUACCCUUAGGAAAAGAAAUCAAUUGAGAUUCCCUCAGUAGCGGCGAGCGAACGGGGAUUAGCCCUUAAGCAUCUUGGAAGUUAGUGGAACGGUCCUGGAAAGGCCGGCGAUACAGGGUGAUAGCCCCGUACACGAAAACAACCUUGAUGUGAAAUCGAGUAGGGCGGGACACGUGACAUCCUGUCUGAAUAUGGGGGGACC